This 253-nucleotide non-coding RNA is filed under the name Gemmataceae bacterium. RNAcentral's name for it is "partial 16S ribosomal RNA". It matches the Rfam family "Bacterial small subunit ribosomal RNA", at positions 524 to 776 of the family's 1533-position model. RNAcentral also lists the same sequence under 2 other names. The record is from RNAcentral. Lineage: Bacteria; Pseudomonadati; Planctomycetota; Planctomycetia; Gemmatales; Gemmataceae.
GACGAACCGUGCGAACGUUGUUCGGAAUCACUGGGCUUAAAGGGCGCGUAGGCGGUCGGGCAAGUCCGGGGUGAAAUCCUGCAGCUUAACUGUAGAAGUGCCUUGGAUACUGCUCGGCUCGAGGGAGGUAGGGGUCUGUGGAACUUCUGGUGGAGCGGUGAAAUGCGUUGAUAUCAGAAGGAACGCCGGUGGCGAAAGCGGCAGACUGGACCUCUUCUAACGCUGAGGCGCGAAAGCUAGGGGAGCAAACGGG